This 374-nucleotide ribosomal RNA is filed under the name Geotrichum candidum. RNAcentral describes it as "eukaryotic LSU rRNA". It matches the Rfam family "Eukaryotic large subunit ribosomal RNA", at positions 131 to 523 of the family's 3401-position model. The record is from RNAcentral. Lineage: Eukaryota; Fungi; Ascomycota; Dipodascomycetes; Dipodascales; Dipodascaceae.
CACCAGGUCGAGUUGUAAUUUGUAGAUUGUAUCUUGAGAGCGGAUUAAAGUCUGUUGGAACACAGCGCCUUAGAGGGUGACAGCCCCGUAAAAUCUAUUCUCAUUGUAAGAUACUUUCGAAGAGUCGAGUUGUUUGGGAAUGCAGCUCUAAGUGGGAGGUAAAUUCCUUCUAAAGCUAAAUAUUGACGAGAGACCGAUAGCGAACAAGUACUGUGAAGGAAAGAUGAAAAGCACUUUGAAAAGAGAGUGAAAAAGUACGUGAAAUUGUUAAAAGGGAAGGGUAUUGAAUCAGACUUGGUGCUGUUGUUCAACUGUGUUUCGGCAUAGUGUACUCAGCAGUACUAGGCCAAGGUGGGGUGUUUGGGAGUGAAAAA